Sitodiplosis mosellana (orange wheat blossom midge) is the source of this 3068-nucleotide RNA transcript. RefSeq lists it as uncharacterized. Lineage: Eukaryota; Metazoa; Arthropoda; Insecta; Diptera; Cecidomyiidae. The record is from RefSeq and is a predicted model, not a curated record. The transcript is spliced from 7 exons.
UUGAAACAGAAACACUUUUGUGUUUUGUAAAUGGACGGUAGUUAAUUUUAGCAUUUCAAUCGGAUGUCUUAGGUGAUCGGUCGGAAAUUCCAUACGGUUUAUUUAGUUCACUGUGAAAUAUUGGGCAGAAAAAAAAUUCAUAUUCGAUGGGAUUAUCUUGAAAAGUUCAGAGAUUUUGUUAUUGUUCAAAACGGAACUGUUUCGAUUUUUGUUGCUUUCAAAUCGUGCAUUGAAAAAUUCUUUCUUUUUUAACAAUUAUCUUAUCCAAAAUACGCAUAUUUCGCAACAUACGUUCAAAAUAUAGAUCGCGCAAUAAACAUGUACAAGUUGGAAAAUUCAAAACCAAAAUUUUGUAUAGGUUACACAUUGACCGCAAAAGCAAUGAACUACCUGACGAUAUUAUUUAGUAUUGUGUUCAUUGCAUUUACGGUUUAUGUUCAGUUCAGUAGAUACAUAUUUAUGCACAACUUUGCAACCGAAAGUCAAUUUGAAAUGUACGCAUUUCAAGCGGUGUGCGUUUGUUAUGCGAUUGUUAUACUCGCGGCCUAUAUCUUUUCGUCCUACGGCAUCGCUAGAUAGAAAAAAUUGGUAUACAUGCGAGUGGCACUCAUUUGUUGGGGAAUAUUACUAAAUCUGUGGACUGCUUUCCAAUUCAAUUACACGCUUCUAUUGUUGACAUAUUUUAAAAAAGGAUUUCAACUGGUCGAUUACUUGGGCGUUGUUAUGACAGUAUUUCUGGUGACUUUUUAUUUCUUCAUUCUGAUAAGUUACAAAGCGAUAAGAGAAGCCAUUGAGAUCGAUACAUCUGGAAAUCCGCUGCUAUACGCAUCAUAUACAGUCAACUAUAGUUUCAAUCAGAACGUUACUAGCAUCAUGACUGGUUUUUUGAUGUUUGCUAUUGUGCUUGGGCAGAGCAUCUUCUAUGUUGUACACUUUCAUUCGAAAUUUUUUCCCGAAUUUAUAACUGUUGGUUAUGUUUUAUUCGUUUUCAACAUAUGGACGAUAGUUUGCUGGUUCCGUGGAAUUGUCCAUAAACAAAUUUAUUUGUGGCCACUAAUUUUGUGGGCAAUAUUCUUGUGUGUAUGGUUUUGGGCCAUUUCUGUGCUCACCUACUCCAAAUCGUGGAACAGGGGCAACAUCAAGGCUUUGAUUAUGUUUUACGUUCUAACAGUGCCUAUUCUGGCUAUAUAUUUCAUGGCUUUCAUGAGUUACACAUUAGCGAAACGAGCGGCUCAACAUCUCAACCAAAGACAUCAACUGCCAGAAACAUUCUACCCCAAGCGUGAGCCCAAUAAUUCCAACAAAAAUCACAGUGUGAAACGAAACCAAACAAAACCCCAGAAAUCUCCCAUUUAACUCAACUCGAUUACGACUAUAAAAUUAUGUCGAUUUUAUGUAAUACGCGUCAUUAUUUAAAAAAAAAAAAAAAAAGAAUCCAACGAUGGGAACAAAAUUGGACGACUUUUGAUAGAUUUAAGGAAUAAAAGUGAGAAUUUUACAAAUAUCUAACAAUAAAAUAUGGAUUCUUCCUAAGGGAGAGACACUCUCUCUCUCUCUCUCUCUCAAAGUUUCAUGUUGAUCGCAUUUGCAGAAGUUUGGUUCUUGGCCUUCCGAGAAAAUGUCGACAAAAUUGAGGAAAAAAAAUCAAAUUUCUGCAAAUGCGAUCAACAUGAAACUUACAGAAUCUUAUUUUUUCUCCAAAAAAUGAAACCUCAGAAAGUUUGAAGCCAAUCAGAAUUGAUUAACGGGUACCUCCCAUACAACCAAUUCCUAUACUUUUCCUUAACACGUUGUGUACGGAAAAGUAAAAAAUAAAGUUCUUUAAUUGGUAUCAAAUUUCACAUAUGAAUUCAUAAACACAUCGAGAAAAACAACUUUUUUUCACAUAAAAAGCUAAAGCAAGAUUAUUUUUUCGUUUAUUGUUGUUCGGUCCUGGAUCUCUUGUGAUUCAUUGAUGAUUUGCAACGCAUCUAUUUUUUUUGUCGAAAUUCCAACUGAAUAUGAUGUUUUAUUGAUUAAUUUAUGCCCGUUGUAAGUGGUUCGGAUUGAAUUAAAUCCAAAAAUUUAAUUUUCAACUUUGCAAGAACGGCCAAAAAAUGAAAGCUAAUAAGUCAAAGCAUAAAAUUUGGUCGAGAACAAGAAAAAUUGAUCUUAUGAGUACACUCCAUAUGCGUUAUGGGGCUUUGAAAUCGUGAUUUUCCCGAAUUUUGUUAAAUCCUAAAGAUUUAACUUUCAAAUGCGGGAUUUAAGAAUUUUUCACGCAAAACCAUGUUGCAAAUAAGUCAAAAAUUGUUGAAAAUGACCGAAAAAUUCUAAAUCAGCAUAAAACCCAACCACUUUGUAAGUUUUUUGAGUCCAAAUAUGCAAAAAUAUCAUUUUUCGUAUAUUCUCAACAUUUAAUUUUCAAUUGCGUGAUUUAAGAAUUUUUCACGUUAAACAGUGGGUCAAAUAAGGCAAAAGUUGUGGGAAAUGGUCCGAAAAAUCUAAAUCAGGAAUAAAAAGUAAGCACUUUUGACCAUUUUUGGGUUCAAAUAGGCAAGAAUAGCAGUUUACGGAAACCCUCAGUAUUUCACUUUCACAUUAUGGUGAAUUGUUUUGCGAAAUCUCGUUUUUCGACAGUCUGCCCAUCCAAAACUUCUAGCCAGCUUCAAAUCAAGCACCGAAAGGGUAACUCUCAUACAAAUUUGGCCUGUUUUGCCAAUUUUAUGAAGAAAAUAAGAAAAUUUGUAUGGAAGGUACCCGUAAAUCGCUUCGAGUUUUUUUGAUAAAAAAAUAAGAUUAAGAAAGUUUCAUUUGAAUUUAAAAAAAAUACUUAUUACGGUCAUUCUUCGAGAGUUUCGUGCAUUUAUGUGACACUUGAAUUUGAAACCUUUGUGCAAUGGGAUUUUUAAUUAUAAAUUGAGAAAAGAAAUGUUCGAAAAUCAGCUUUGAAAGUAAUAUGUAAUUUGUUAUAGGCGACAAACAAUUGGAUCCAGGAUUGAGUGCAACUGGUUGUUUCUUAUUUCAUUUAGACAAUAAUGUUUGUGCUAUCGUUUAUGUUGUUUAUCAUUAAAGUACGCACAAUUUCC